Armigeres subalbatus is the source of this 455-nucleotide long non-coding RNA. RefSeq lists it as uncharacterized. NCBI's taxonomy places the organism in Eukaryota, Metazoa, Arthropoda, Insecta, Diptera, Culicidae. The record is from RefSeq and is a predicted model, not a curated record. The transcript is spliced from 2 exons.
AAAUGUCAAACUAAAAAGAAAUCAUAACAAACUGACUACCCAAACCGUGGGAACAUCGAUCCUGUUACGACAGACGGCAGUAUCAAGUUCCGCCUUGUUAAGGCUUGUGAUUAGCCGGUUCCGAUGUUCCAGAAUCCGGCCGAACAUGAUCCAGUAGAUAAUAAAUCCGAACUUCCGGUGCUGUUUCGGUCGUUCCCACAAGAAGAGGACAGCAAUGCAUUGAUGGCAUUCUGAUACAUCAUACAAGGGAGAUGAGCGGACGGAUGAUGGCCAUCAAUUUGAUACCAGAAGGAAUACUGAUUUCCUGGAGUAAGCAGUUUGCGCUAUCCGAUACAGGCUAAAUUCAUACGAAAUAUGCGUCGCAUCAUUUAAAUGUCUCCGCCGUCUCCGCAUUUUGUAUGUAGCUUAAUAACUUAUAUUAAAAAUAUAAUCUUGAAUUCAUGAACUAAACUAAA